RNAcentral lists this ribosomal RNA (800 nucleotides) under uncultured bacterium. RNAcentral's name for it is "bacterial SSU rRNA". It matches the Rfam family "Bacterial small subunit ribosomal RNA", at positions 8 to 786 of the family's 1533-position model. The record is from RNAcentral.
AGAGUUUGAUCCUGGCUCAGAACGAACGCUGGCGGCGUGCUUAACACAUGCAAGUCGAACGGGAUUCGGAGCUUGCUCCGAUGAGAGUGGCGCACGGGUGAGUAACGCGUGGAUAACCUGCCCUGGUAUCUGGAAUAACAUCUCGAAAGGGGUGCUAAUACCGGAUAAGCUUACGGUUCCUUCGGUGACUGUGAGAAAAGGUGGCCUCUAUUUAUAAGCUACCGUAUCAGGAUGGGUCCGCGUACCAUUAGCUAGUUGGUGGGGUAAGGGCCUACCAAGGCGACGAUCUGUAGCGGGUCUGAGAGGAUGAUCCGCCACACUGGAACUGAGACACGGUCCAGACUCCUACGGGAGGCAGCAGUGGGGAAUUUUGGACAAUGGGGGCAACCCUGAUCCAGCCAUGCCGCGUGAGUGAAGAAGGCCUUCGGGUUGUAAAGCUCUUUCGGCCGGGAAGAAAUCGCAUAGGCUAAUACCCUGUGUGGAUGACGGUACCGGAAUAAGAAGCACCGGCUAACUACGUGCCAGCAGCCGCGGUAAUACGUAGGGUGCGAGCGUUAAUCGGAAUUACUGGGCGUAAAGCGUGCGCAGGCGGUUUCGUAAGACAGAGGUGAAAUCCCCGGGCUCAACCUGGGAACUGCCUUUGUGACUGCGAGGCUAGAGUACGGCAGAGGGGGGUGGAAUUCCACGUGUAGCAGUGAAAUGCGUAGAGAUGUGGAGGAACACCGAUGGCGAAGGCAGCCCCCUGGGCCGAUACUGACGCUCAUGCACGAAAGCGUGGGUAGCAAACAGGAUUAGAUACC